RNAcentral lists this ribosomal RNA (486 nucleotides) under uncultured bacterium. Its description in RNAcentral is "partial 16S ribosomal RNA". It matches the Rfam family "Bacterial small subunit ribosomal RNA", at positions 30 to 507 of the family's 1533-position model. The record is from RNAcentral.
AUUGAACGCUGGCGGCAUGCCUUACACAUGCAAGUCGAACGGCAGCACGGGUGCUUGCACCUGGUGGCGAGUGGCGAACGGGUGAGUAAUACAUCGGAACAUGUCCUGUAGUGGGGGAUAGCCCGGCGAAAGCCGGAUUAAUACCGCAUACGAUCCACGGAUGAAAGCGGGGGACCUUCGGGCCUCGCGCUAUAGGGUUGGCCGAUGGCUGAUUAGCUAGUUGGUGGGGUAAAGGCCUACCAAGGCGACGAUCAGUAGCUGGUCUGAGAGGACGACCAGCCACACUGGGACUGAGACACGGCCCAGACUCCUACGGGAGGCAGCAGUGGGGAAUUUUGGACAAUGGGCGAAAGCCUGACCCAGCAAUGCCGCGUGUGUGAAGAAGGCCUUCGGGUUGUAAAGCACUUUUGUCCGGAAAGAAAUCCUUGGCUCUAAUGCAGUCGGGGGAUGACGGUACCGGAAGAAUAAGCACCGGCUAACUACGUG